RNAcentral lists this ribosomal RNA (466 nucleotides) under uncultured Cellulomonas sp. RNAcentral describes it as "bacterial SSU rRNA". It matches the Rfam family "Bacterial small subunit ribosomal RNA", at positions 920 to 1382 of the family's 1533-position model. The record is from RNAcentral. Lineage: Bacteria; Bacillati; Actinomycetota; Actinomycetes; Micrococcales; Cellulomonadaceae.
CCCGCACAAGCGGUGGAGCAUGUGGUUUAAUCGAUGCAACGCGGAGUAACCUUACCUGGGCUUGACAUCCCGGGAAUCCCUUGGAAACAAGGGAGUGCCCUUCGGGGAACCUGGAGACAGGUGCUGCAUGGCUGUCGUCAGCUCGUGUCGUGAGAUGUUGGGUUAAGUCCCGCAACGAGCGCAACCCUCGUCCUAUGUUGCCAGCGGGUCAUGCCGGGGACUCAUGGGAGACUGCCGGGGUCAACUCGGAGGAAGGUGGGGAUGACGUCAAAUCAUCAUGCCCCUUAUGUCUUGGGCUUCACGCAUGCUACAAUGGCCGGUACAAAGGGCUGCGAUACCGCGAGGUGGAGCGAAUCCCAGAAAGCCGGUCUCAGUUCGGAUUGGGGUCUGCAACUCGACCCCAUGAAGUCGGAGUCGCUAGUAAUCGCAGAUCAGCAACGCUGCGGUGAAUACGUUCCCGGGCCUU